This 909-nucleotide long non-coding RNA is filed under the name Phascolarctos cinereus (koala). RNAcentral describes it as "lncRNA (ENSPCIG00000003928.2)". Lineage: Eukaryota; Metazoa; Chordata; Mammalia; Diprotodontia; Phascolarctidae. The record is from RNAcentral.
GGGAGAGUGUGGAGUAGCAGGAAAGAUUUCAUCCUUUUCCAGGCACAUAGAUAUGCUGGACUAGCAGAAUUAGAAGAUCUGGGUUAAGAUUUCGGUAUUGCCUCCGGCUUGCUGCAUGACCUGGGGAACAAUCAUUCAUCUUGCUUUUCUUCAUUUUGACCAUCUGUAAAAUGGAAGCAUUGGAUUUUCCCCUCAACAGGCUCCACAAGGAGGUGAUCCCUGAAAAAAAGGUCCUUGGAAGGAAGGUUGUUGAAGAUCCCAGAUUACACAUACUAAUUUAGACAAAAUGGCAGCCUGUGUUCCCCUCCCCAGCAAAAUCAAGAGUCCCCAUUUUCUAAGAAGAGACCAGAGAUGUCCUGGUUUAACUGGUACUGCUUACAGAUGGUUUUCCGCUAGGUUGUGACUCCUGGUUUUAGCCCAAGUACAGAGAGGACUAAAACAAAUCAGUGGAGUGAUUUUGCUCCUUUGCUUUUCUCCUGACUUUCUGAAGAUCAUUCCCCCUCCCCCCCAUCCAAAUAAUCCCUCCUCUUUCCUUUCCUCCUCUCUUCCCCCUCCCCCCCCAACUCCAAGUCAAGGGACCUUCUCAUGCCGUCUGUUCGCCCUUACCUGGACCAGGUGCUCCUGAAGGAAAAUAUGGAUAGCUUCUGUCUUGGAUUUGGACUGGAAAGGAAGAAGGAAGAAGCAGGGGAGGCAGGAUCCAAGAGGAACAGGUUGAAAAGCUUGAACCAACUCUGGAGCAGAAGCUGAGUGCUAACAGGUGCUAAUGCAACAUACCUCUAUGUUAACACUGAAGACAGUCUGUCACUGUGGAAAGAGCACUAGUCUUACACUUAGGAGACCUGAGUUUGAGUCCUGGCUUCCCACUUGCUAUUUGUAUGACUAUGGGUGAGUUACUCCUUCACACCACCA